AAUGCACCAAUUUGUAAGUCGCUCUGGAUAAGAGCGUCUGCUAUAUGACUAAAA
This is a non-coding RNA of Salmo salar (Atlantic salmon), 54 nucleotides long. Lineage: Eukaryota; Metazoa; Chordata; Actinopteri; Salmoniformes; Salmonidae. The record is from Rfam.